RNAcentral lists this ribosomal RNA (502 nucleotides) under Ditylum brightwellii. RNAcentral's name for it is "partial Bacterial large subunit ribosomal RNA". It matches the Rfam family "Bacterial large subunit ribosomal RNA", at positions 32 to 488 of the family's 2925-position model. Lineage: Eukaryota; Bacillariophyta; Thalassiosirophyceae; Lithodesmiales; Lithodesmiaceae. The record is from RNAcentral.
CUUGGCACCAGGAACCGAAGAAGGACGUAGGAAUCUGCGAUAAGCCUCGGGGAGUCGAUAACCAGACUGUGAUCCGAGGAUUUCCGAAUGGGGAAACCCGGCUGGAGGCAAGUCCAGUCACUCCCGCCUGAACACAUAGGGCGGGUAGAGGGAACGUGGGGAAGUGAAACAUCUCAGUACCCACAGGAAGAGAAAACAACAGUGAUUCCGAGAGUAGUGGCGAGCGAAAUCGGAUGAGGCCAAACCUCGAGUGUGUGAUACCCGGCAGGGGUUGCAUUCGGGGGGUUGUGGGACCGCUCACCUUCGUCUGCCGGCGAGGGACAGAGUAAGAAACCAGUGCGGAAGUCGAAGUCGGUUGGAAAGCCGUACCGUAGAGGGUGAUAGGCCCGUAGACGUAAAGCGCUGGCUCUGGAGCGUGUUCCCAAGUAACACGGAACCCCUGAAAUUCCGUGUGAAUCUGGCGGGACCACCCGUUAAGCCUAAAUACUCCUUGAUGACCGAU